UACAGGGGGGGCAAGCGUUGUUCGGAAUUACUGGGCGUAAAGGGCUCGUAGGUGGCCGACUAAGACAGACGUGAAAUCCCUCAGCUUAACUGGGGAACUGCGUCUGAUACUGGAUGGCUUGAGUUCGGGAGAGGGAUGCGGAAUUCCAGGUGUAGCGGUGAAAUGCGUAGAUAUCUGGAGGAACACCGGUGGCGAAGGCGGCAUCCUGGACCGACACUGACACUGAGGAGCGAAAGCCAGGGGAGCAAACGGG
This 253-nucleotide ribosomal RNA is filed under the name uncultured bacterium. RNAcentral's name for it is "partial 16S ribosomal RNA". It matches the Rfam family "Bacterial small subunit ribosomal RNA", at positions 524 to 776 of the family's 1533-position model. The record is from RNAcentral.